RNAcentral lists this ribosomal RNA (484 nucleotides) under uncultured bacterium. RNAcentral's name for it is "partial 16S ribosomal RNA". It matches the Rfam family "Bacterial small subunit ribosomal RNA", at positions 29 to 507 of the family's 1533-position model. The record is from RNAcentral.
AUUGAACGCUGGCGGCAUGCUUUACACAUGCAAGUCGAACGGCAGCGCGGGCUUCGGCCUGGCGGCGAGUGGCGAACGGGUGAGUAAUACAUCGGAACGUGCCCAGUAGUGGGGGAUAGCUCGGCGAAAGCCGGAUUAAUACCGCAUACGACCUGAGGGUGAAAGCGGGGGAUCUUCGGACCUCGCGCUAUUGGAGCGGCCGAUGGCAGAUUAGCUAGUUGGUGGGGUAAAGGCCUACCAAGGCGACGAUCUGUAGCUGGUCUGAGAGGACGACCAGCCACACUGGAACUGAGACACGGCCCAGACUCCUACGGGAGGCAGCAGUGGGGAAUUUUGGACAAUGGGCGAAGGCCUGACCCAGCAAUGCCGCGUGUGUGAUGAAGGCCUUCGGGUUGUAAAGCACUUUUGGCGGGAACGAAAAGGACUGUGCCAAUACCACGGUUCGAUGACGGUACCCGAAGAAAAAGCACCGGCUAACUACGUG